Molecule: long non-coding RNA, 506 nt
Filed under: Olea europaea (common olive)
Lineage: Eukaryota; Viridiplantae; Streptophyta; Magnoliopsida; Lamiales; Oleaceae
Description: long non-coding RNA (OEUR_LNC006964)
Source: RNAcentral
AAAGGGAUAUCUUCGGGGAGCUGCUACUCCUUUGCCCUCUCUACAAGAUAUUCAUACUCUUUGACAUACAUCUCAUCCUACAAACACAACUCACAAGAUAUACAUAACAGCUAUAAAAUUAAAUUUUGCUAGAGAUAUAGCACAACUGCACACAAGAGAUAUAGCAGAACGCAAGAGAUACAAAAGCAUAUUAUGAUAUGGGUAAUCAAUUUCUAAAAUGUGAUGAACGAUCCUGCCCUGCAUAUAUUAUAUCUCAUUUCUUCCAAAAUCCAGAGGGUGGUGUCAAAGGUGGCUUCGCCCUUGCUUGUAUCACAUAUAAGUACUUGUAAAUUACAAAGAAAUGAAUUAUAGGCAAAUCAUGGAAUGGAAUUCAUCACCUUGAAAUUAAAAUCAAAUCAAAUAUUAAAAGAAAAAUCUUUUACAAUCCCAAUUCUAGUUUCACACCCCUAAACAUAAUGUCACAAUUGAUCAAGCCCAUUUCAAUAAAACUGAAUUUCUUUGUAGUU